UAUCCAGUAGCACCUUAGAGACCAACUAAAUUUGUUCUGGGUAUAAGCUUUCAUGUGCAUUCAGACUUCUUCAGAUACCCAGAACAAACUUAGUUGAUCUCUAAGGUGCUACUGGAGA
Podarcis lilfordi (Lilford's wall lizard) is the source of this 118-nucleotide non-coding RNA. Lineage: Eukaryota; Metazoa; Chordata; Lepidosauria; Squamata; Lacertidae. The record is from the annotation of a GenBank genome assembly.